RNAcentral lists this unclassified non-coding RNA (264 nucleotides) under Hevea brasiliensis (rubber tree). Lineage: Eukaryota; Viridiplantae; Streptophyta; Magnoliopsida; Malpighiales; Euphorbiaceae. The record is from RNAcentral.
AAUGAUGAUGAUGAUGAUGAUGACUGGGAGGUGGUGGACGAGGAAGAAGAAGAUGGUGGCGAGGUGGAGGAGAGUGCUGAAAGUUCUGAGUAAUAUAUGAACAUGGGGCGAAAAGGGUCUGUUCCAUUUUAGAGGAGGCUUUACCUUACAGGGAGCUUAGUAUAUUUCACUUUGAAUUGUAUUUUAUUGUAUGAUAAAACUAGGUGAUUUUGGUUGAUUUCAUGUCACUGACUGCAUUUGUCCAUUACCUUCGUUGGAAUAGUU